Molecule: ribosomal RNA, 508 nt
Filed under: Micromonospora parathelypteridis
Lineage: Bacteria; Bacillati; Actinomycetota; Actinomycetes; Micromonosporales; Micromonosporaceae
Description: bacterial SSU rRNA
Rfam family: Bacterial small subunit ribosomal RNA
Source: RNAcentral
UGAGUAACACGUGAGCAACCUGCCCCAAGCUUUGGGAUAACCCCGGGAAACCGGGGCUAAUACCGAAUAGGACUUCCGGCCGCAUGGCUGGGGGUGGAAAGUUUUUCGGCUUGGGAUGGGCUCGCGGCCUAUCAGCUUGUUGGUGGGGUGAUGGCCUACCAAGGCGACGACGGGUAGCCGGCCUGAGAGGGCGACCGGCCACACUGGGACUGAGACACGGCCCAGACUCCUACGGGAGGCAGCAGUGGGGAAUAUUGCACAAUGGGCGGAAGCCUGAUGCAGCGACGCCGCGUGAGGGAUGACGGCCUUCGGGUUGUAAACCUCUUUCAGCAGGGACGAAGCGAGAGUGACGGUACCUGCAGAAGAAGCACCGGCCAACUACGUGCCAGCAGCCGCGGUAAGACGUAGGGUGCGAGCGUUGUCCGGAUUUAUUGGGCGUAAAGAGCUCGUAGGCGGCUUGUCGCGUCGACCGUGAAAACUUGGGGCUCAACCCCAAGCCUGCGGUCGA